CCUCCCGUGUCACCUCCCUGCACGGGACGCGUUUACGCGUUUCAAACCCGGCCUGCGUCGGGUUUUUUUUC
Molecule: small RNA, 71 nt
Organism: Polaromonas naphthalenivorans CJ2
Lineage: Bacteria; Pseudomonadati; Pseudomonadota; Betaproteobacteria; Burkholderiales; Comamonadaceae
Rfam family: Burkholderia RNA 7 (anti-hemB)
About the family: This RNA motif was identified by computational search in b-proteobacteria Burkholderia. Co-purified with Hfq, expression confirmed by Northern blot.
Source: Rfam